AUAUUUAUAUGUACGCACACAAGUAGGGUUCUUGCUGCACUGGUGAAAGCGUGAAAGCAGGUGCCCACGAUUGAUCAAGAAUGGCUGUGCUUUGCCCUGUACCGAUGAUAAUCGUAGCCGCGUUUACUAUGGCUCUGCUUCAAGGAUCCGAAACUGACGCCCGAGAACUCCCUCUUAAAAUGCACUAUCCUCAAUGCCGUAUGCGUUGGUGCAGAGCAAGUUGCAAGGAUGACUUUGGUUACAGAUUAGUCAAGGUGACCUGCAUAAGGGACAUAUGCAGGUGCUACCACACAUAGAAACGACCCGAUCGACAUCAUAUUUCAGUUCCUUCCAGAAGAUUGAAACGCCCACAGCCUGUGGGGGUUCAUAAUCUUUAUUAUAUGUGCUUUUGUUGCGGGUGUAAUCAUUUAGUGCACGUGCACUGCGUACAUUCACUGCGGACCUACUCCACACCUUGUCAGUUAUAUAGUGUUACACAGAGUGUGUUGAACGGGAAGUGCGUUGCUUUAUCUUACUUGGAAUAUGUACCUACAAAACGUUUCACCUAACGCUUUGAAAACCACAAUAAAGGUCUGCUGCAUGCA
Long non-coding RNA from Ornithodoros turicata, 584 nucleotides. RefSeq lists it as uncharacterized. Lineage: Eukaryota; Metazoa; Arthropoda; Arachnida; Ixodida; Argasidae. The transcript is spliced from 3 exons. The record is from RefSeq and is a predicted model, not a curated record.